RNAcentral lists this ribosomal RNA (868 nucleotides) under Cantharellus platyphyllus. RNAcentral's name for it is "eukaryotic LSU rRNA". It matches the Rfam family "Eukaryotic large subunit ribosomal RNA", at positions 63 to 967 of the family's 3401-position model. Lineage: Eukaryota; Fungi; Basidiomycota; Agaricomycetes; Cantharellales; Hydnaceae. The record is from RNAcentral.
AACUACAAGGAUUCCCCCAGUAACUGCGAGUGAAGAGGGAAGAGCUCAUCAUUGGAAUCAGGCAGGGUUGAUUCUCUGUCCGAGUUGUAGAUGAGACGAGUAGGUCAUCUGGACUGCAUGGCACUCAAGUACGAUACUACCCGUCAGUGGGACAUCAUAGAGGGUGACAAUCCCGUCUUUGGUGCUGAUGUUCGAGUCCUUUACGAUGCCUAUCUCAGGAGAGUCGAGUAGUUUGGGAUUUGCUGCUUGAACAUGGGAGGUAGACACCUUCUAAAGCUAAAUAUUGGCAAGAGACCGAUAGUGGACAAGUACCGCAAGGGAAAGAUGAAAUAGCACUCUGUAAAGGGAGUCAAAAGGCGUGAAAUUGUUGCGAGAGAAGCGAUUCAAGUCAGCUUGACUAGGCCCAUGAUGACAUCCGUCCUCUGGACUAGUCUCGCCAGCGGUCUCAUCUUAUUACGGUUUGACUAAGGUGCGGUACAUCCUCAACGCACGGCUGGUGGAAUGGCUUGCAAUCGACCCGUCUUGAAACACGGACCAAGGAGUCUAACAUGCAUGCAAGUAUAAGGGUGACAAACCCGUAUGCGCAAUGAAAGUGACUUUCAGUGAUUGUUGUGUGGCUUGACGACCAGACAGGAAAUAUCAUGUCCCUCGGAUGGCCACUGCCCAAGUUCUGUGGUACGAACCCAUGAACAUGGAGACGGAGCAUGCAUGCUAGGACCCGAAAGAUGGUGAACUAUGCCUGGACAGAGCGAAGCCAAAGGAAACUCUGGUGGAGGCUCGUAGCGAUUCUGACGUGCAAAUCGAUCGUCUGAUCUGGGUAUAGGGGCGAAAGACUAAUCGAACCAUCUCAUAGCUGGUGCUGACGAGU